Molecule: ribosomal RNA, 504 nt
Filed under: uncultured bacterium
Lineage: Bacteria
Description: partial 16S ribosomal RNA
Rfam family: Bacterial small subunit ribosomal RNA
Source: RNAcentral
AUUGAACGCUGGCGGCAGGCCUAACACAUGCAAGUCGAGCGGAAACGAAGGGAGCUUGCUCCCAGGCGUCGAGCGGCGGACGGGUGAGUAACACGUGAGAAUCUGCCCAUUAGUGGGGGACAACUCGGGGAAACUCGAGCUAAUACCGCAUAAUCCCUACGGGGGAAAGCAGGGGACCUUUUGGCCUUGCGUUGAUGGAUGAGCUCACGUGGGAUUAGGUUGUUGGUGAGGUAAAGGCUCACCAAGGCGACGAUCCGUAGCUGGUCUGAGAGGAUGAUCAGCCACACUGGGACUGAGACACGGCCCAGACUCCUACGGGAGGCAGCAGUGGGGAAUCUUGGACAAUGGGGGCAACCCUGAUCCAGCCAUGCCGCGUGUGUGAAGAAGGCCUUCGGGUUGUAAAGCACUUUCAGCAGGGAGGAAGGCUUUGGCCGAAUAGGUUGAAGUACUUGACGUUACCUGCAGAAGAAGCACCGGCUAAUUUCGUGCCAGCAGCCGCGGUAA